RNAcentral lists this ribosomal RNA (661 nucleotides) under uncultured Alphaproteobacteria bacterium. Its description in RNAcentral is "bacterial SSU rRNA". It matches the Rfam family "Bacterial small subunit ribosomal RNA", at positions 28 to 735 of the family's 1533-position model. Lineage: Bacteria; Pseudomonadati; Pseudomonadota; Alphaproteobacteria. The record is from RNAcentral.
AACGAACGCUGGCGGCAUGCCUAACACAUGCAAGUCGAACGAGACCUUCGGGUCUAGUGGCGCACGGGUGCGUAACGCGUGGGAAUCUGCCCUUCGGUUGGGAAUAACACAGAGAAAUUUGUGCUAAUACCUUAUAAUGUCUUCGGACCAAAGAUUUAUCGCCGAGGGAUGAGCCCGCGUAGGAUUAGGUAGUUGGUGGGGUAAUGGCCUACCAAGCCGACGAUCCUUAGCUGGUCUGAGAGGAUGAUCAGCCACACUGGGACUGAGACACGGCCCAGACUCCUACGGGAGGCAGCAGUGGGGAAUAUUGGACAAUGGGCGAAAGCCUGAUCCAGCAAUGCCGCGUGAGUGAUGAAGGCCUUAGGGUUGUAAAGCUCUUUUACCAGGGAUGAUAAUGACAGUACCUGGAGAAUAAGCUCCGGCUAACUCCGUGCCAGCAGCCGCGGUAAUACGGAGGGAGCUAGCGUUGUUCGGAAUUACUGGGCGUAAAGCGCGCGUAGGCGGUUACUCAGGUCAGAGGUGAAAGCCCGGGGCUCAACCCCGGAACUGCCUUUGAAACUAGGUAACUAGAAUCUUGGAGAGGUCAGUGGAAUUCCGAGUGUAGAGGUGAAAUUCGUAGAUAUUCGGAAGAACACCAGUGGCGAAGGCGACUGACUGGACA